This 253-nucleotide ribosomal RNA is filed under the name uncultured bacterium. RNAcentral's name for it is "partial 16S ribosomal RNA". It matches the Rfam family "Bacterial small subunit ribosomal RNA", at positions 524 to 776 of the family's 1533-position model. The record is from RNAcentral.
UACGAAGGGUGCAAACGUUGCUCAGAAUCAUUGGGCGUAAAGCGCACGUAGGCGGCUUCAAAAGUCGGAUGUGAAAUCCCGUGGCUCAACCAUGGACGUGCAUUCGAAACUGCGAAGCUUGAGUAUGGAAGAGGGUCGCGGAAUUCCCGGUGUAGAGGUGAAAUUCGUAGAUAUCGGGAGGAACACCAGUGGCGAAGGCGGCGACCUGGGCCAAUACUGACGCUGAGGUGCGAAAGCGUGGGGAGCAAACAGG